CGGCGGGUAUGCAAGCGGCCAAAGCAGCGUGACUGUAACCCACGUGUCCGACGACUUCGCAGGUUCGAAUCCGUGCCCCGCCGA
This 84-nucleotide transfer RNA is filed under the name Cyanobacteria bacterium HKST-UBA02. RNAcentral's name for it is "tRNA-Tyr". It matches the Rfam family "tRNA". From Rfam's summary of the family: Transfer RNA (tRNA) molecules are approximately 80 nucleotides in length. Their secondary structure includes four short double-helical elements and three loops (D, anti-codon, and T loops). Further hydrogen bonds mediate the characteristic L-shaped molecular structure. tRNAs have two regions of fundamental functional importance: the anti-codon, which is responsible for specific mRNA codon recognition, and the 3' end, to which the tRNAs corresponding amino acid is attached (by aminoacyl-tRNA synthetases). tRNAs cope with the degeneracy of the genetic code in two manners: having more than one tRNA (with a specific anti-codon) for a particular amino acid; and 'wobble' base-pairing, i.e. permitting non-standard base-pairing at the 3rd anti-codon position. The record is from RNAcentral. Lineage: Bacteria; Bacillati; Cyanobacteriota.